CUUCACAACAGAGUCAAUUUUUGGCAUCCAUAGAAAAAAAAAAACGUGGUGUGCAAACUAUGUAAUGUAUAAAGCCUUGAUUAUAAUAUUAAACACACUCUCACUAGAGUACUUUAAAUUCCAGAAAUGUACCCACAACAGGGGGAAAAAAAAGGCUAUCCUUUAGCUGUAUCAGCAUCCACCCUUCGGCAUCCCUCAAAAUGUGAAUACAAGGAGGCAACUUUAAGGUUUCCAAGCUUGUUAAUGUCAAUUACGCAUGCCUACGCCUUUUUGUAUUGUCCUCAGCAAAGAACUCCCAGUUUUCAUGAUUCAGAGUACUUAAAUCAUCAAGUUCUGCAAUGGCAAGUAAGUAUUGGGUGAGCUUCACGAGCUCCUGAUCACUAUCUCUAUUUGCAUGAGCCUUCCUGAAAGGCUUGAUUGUCAAACCAUUUUGUGGGUUCAUCACAAAAUUUCUUCGCAGAUCAUCGAACAUUAUAGUGUUUUUUGGAUUGUAAAACUCGGGAAACUGAGCCCAAAUCAAUCCAAGUGGCUUGCAGUCAAAGAUUCCCCGAGAAUCUGAUUGAACUGUAAUCAUUGCUAAAUGAUCUAGAAGAGCUGUGAUUUUAUAGUUUGGAUUGUUGAGCACUCCCAGUUGUCCCAUUUUCAAUUCAAUCCACUUCAAUCUGGUUGCAGACCAAAUCAUAAUAUCAUACUCUGCAUAAACAGCUGUGAGAAACUCAUGAAGAUAAGGCCGCAUGAGUUCGAGUGGGUUCUCUGCUGUGGAUCGGUGAUCAAAUAGAGUAUAAUCAAUAUCUAGAACGAGCAGCUUUUUCCCUUCACGACAUGGAUUCUGAAGUGCAAUCUUAUAUUGAUCUAUGCGCCUCCUUAGUUUUUGCUUAUUAACUUCCUUAUCUUUAAUGUCAACAGCUUCAUCUUGCCCCAGCUCAAAAUCAUCAACAACCUCGGAGGAGUCCACUUGAUCCACAAUUAUAUCAUCUUCAACAGUUCCAAUCAUCGUCAUCUUGAGAGAGGACUUGAGGGGAAGCUGGGAGAGCAAAACGGAGUCAUCAGCAAGCUUAUUACCGAUUUUGGGGUAGAGAAGCUUUUGUCGCUUAGGCAUAACAUUGGUAAGUUCGCAUAUACGGCGCUUCAACUCGCCCACAGAGUCGUCGCCACAGACUCGAACAGUGUACUCCUUGCCGCUCCACUUCACUGUGAGUGUCAGCUCCUCCUCUGUGAUCGACGAGGUAGAUACCGAAGAAGUAGCGGCUGCCAUUUUUGACCCUGUGAGCUCUCUCUCUCUCUCUCAGAGUUUUAAAA
This 1299-nucleotide unclassified non-coding RNA is filed under the name Hevea brasiliensis (rubber tree). The record is from RNAcentral. Lineage: Eukaryota; Viridiplantae; Streptophyta; Magnoliopsida; Malpighiales; Euphorbiaceae.